RNAcentral lists this ribosomal RNA (400 nucleotides) under uncultured bacterium. RNAcentral's name for it is "bacterial SSU rRNA". It matches the Rfam family "Bacterial small subunit ribosomal RNA", at positions 355 to 772 of the family's 1533-position model. The record is from RNAcentral.
UGAGGAAUCUUGGACAAUGGGGGCAACCCUGAUCCAGCCAUGCCGCGUGAGUGAUGAAGGCCUUCGGGUUGUAAAGCUCUUUUAGAUGUGAAGAUAAUGACGGUAGCAUCAGAAAAAGCUCCGGCUAACUCCGUGCCAGCAGCCGCGGUAAUACGGAGGGAGCGAGCGUUGUUCGGAAUUACUGGGCGUAAAGCGUAUGUAGGCGGUUUUGUAAGUCAGGUGUGAAAUCCCAGGGCUCAACCUUGGAACUGCAUUUGAGACUGCAAGACUUGAGUAUCGGAGAGGUUGGCGGAAUUCCUAGUGUAGAGGUGAAAUUCGCAGAUAUUAGGAGGAACACCGAUGGCGUAAGCAGCCAACUGGACGAUUACUGACGCUGAGAUACGAAAGCGUGGGGAGCAAA